GGCACACGCCUCUUUCUUCUUCCUUUCUCACGUAAUAUUUUCUGGAAAAACAUAGAGGAGCAACAGCAACAUCAACUUCCCGGCGGAAAUUUCACGGUGGCCAUGGGAGAAGCAAUAACGAAAAUCCGAGUAAACACUCAAACAAUCUCUCUCGGUUCUCUCUCGUGAUUCUUCUCCGUAAACAACAAAUCCCUCACUCACGGUUUCCUUCUACCGCGGCCAUGGGAGGAGCUUGAAGAAGCUCACACAAAAUAUGAUGAAACUACAAGGAUAAACUCAACUCUACAACAAAUUUUGACUUGAUUUUAACAGACUCAUGAAUAGGGGCGAAAAUCUGGGUACAGCAACAAAUAUCAGAGAGGUUGAGAGUGAAGGCAGGAUCGACUUACCUACGGCGAGGAGAAUUUCGCCGGUUUAAUUGUUGUGUGUUGCGGUUAUGCUUUGAUUUUGCUGAAUUUUUCUGCUGUUGCUUCGGAGUUGUUGAAGAUGAUGCGUGAAUGAUGUGUAAGCACAGGGCUGCAACCAGAGGAUCUAUUUUGAUGAAGAUGAUGCAACAAAACCUUUUUUUGGAUAUUAGGGAGACUUGAAGAUGCAACUUCAAGUUGUUGCUCUCCACUAAGGUAUGAACUACUUCUUCACCCCUUUUCCAACUAUGGAACUAAGAAACUUUGAAAAUUAUGAGAGAAAAGGGAGGAGUGAAAAAAGCAAGUAGCUAAGGUUGCUUUGGUGUGAUUUGCAAUGAAGAGAACACCUCUAUUUAUAGGAAAAGCUUAGGAUGUGUUUGGCAUAAAAAUUAACUUG
Long non-coding RNA from Vicia villosa (hairy vetch), 801 nucleotides. RefSeq lists it as uncharacterized. The record is from RefSeq and is a predicted model, not a curated record. Lineage: Eukaryota; Viridiplantae; Streptophyta; Magnoliopsida; Fabales; Fabaceae. The transcript has 4 exons.